Molecule: ribosomal RNA, 417 nt
Filed under: unidentified bacterium VCT113
Lineage: Bacteria
Description: bacterial SSU rRNA
Rfam family: Bacterial small subunit ribosomal RNA
Source: RNAcentral
CGGCGGACGGGUGAGUAACACGUGGGCAACCUGCCCUGCAGAUUGGGAUAACUCCGGGAAACCGGGGCUAAUACCGAAUAACAUGGAAGGCUUCAUGGCUUUCUUUUGAAAGGCGGCUUCGGCUGUCACUGCAGGAUGGGCCCGCGGCGCAUUAGCUAGUUGGUGAGGUAACGGCUCACCAAGGCCACGAUGCGUAGCCGACCUGAGAGGGUGAUCGGCCACACUGGGACUGAGACACGGCCCAGACUCCUACGGGAGGCAGCAGUAGGGAAUCUUCCGCAAUGGACGAAAGUCUGACGGAGCAACGCCGCGUGAGUGAAGAAGGUUUUCGGAUCGUAAAACUCUGUUGUCAGGGAAGAACAAGUACGGGAGUAACUGCCCGUACUUUGACGGUACCUGGCCAGAAAGCCACGGCUA